RNAcentral lists this ribosomal RNA (621 nucleotides) under uncultured fungus. RNAcentral describes it as "eukaryotic LSU rRNA". It matches the Rfam family "Eukaryotic large subunit ribosomal RNA", at positions 32 to 671 of the family's 3401-position model. The record is from RNAcentral. Lineage: Eukaryota; Fungi.
GAUUGCAUAUCAAUAAGCGGAGGAAAAGAAACCAACAGGGAUUGCCUUAGUAGCGGCGAGUGAAGCGGCAAAAGCUCAAAUUUGAAAUCUGGCUCUUUCAGAGUCCGAGUUGUAAUUUGAAGAAGGUAUCUUUGGGUCUGGCUCCUGUCUAUGUUUCUUGGAACAGAACGUCACAGAGGGUGAGAAUCCCGUGCGAUGAGAUGAUCCAGGCCUAUGUAAAGUUCCUUCGAAGAGUCGAGUUGUUUGGGAAUGCAGCUCUAAGUGGGUGGUAAAUUCCAUCUAAAGCUAAAUAUUGGCGAGAGACCGAUAGCGAACAAGUACAGUGAUGGAAAGAUGAAAAGAACUUUGAAAAGAGAGUGAAAAAGUACGUGAAAUUGUUGAAAGGGAAGGGCUUGAGAUCAGACUUGGUAUUUUGUAUGUUACUUCUUCGGGGGUGGCCUCUACAGUUUAUCGGGCCAGCAUCAGUUUGGGCGGUAGGAGAAUUGCGUUGGAAUGUGGCACGGCUUCGGUUGUGUGUUAUAGCCUUCGUCGAUACUGCCAGCCUAGACUGAGGACUGCGGUUUAUACCUAGGAUGUUGGCAUAAUGAUCUUAAGUCGCCCGUCUUGAAACACGGACCAAUC